This 471-nucleotide ribosomal RNA is filed under the name uncultured Pelotomaculum sp. Its description in RNAcentral is "bacterial SSU rRNA". It matches the Rfam family "Bacterial small subunit ribosomal RNA", at positions 916 to 1381 of the family's 1533-position model. The record is from RNAcentral. Lineage: Bacteria; Bacillati; Bacillota; Clostridia; Eubacteriales; Desulfotomaculaceae.
GACGGGGCCCGCACAAGCGGUGGAGCAUGUGGUUAAUUCGACGCAACGCGAAGAACCUUACCAGGGCUUGACAUCCCCUGACCGCGUAUGAAAGUACGUUUUCACCCUCGGGUGACAGGGAGACAGGUGGUGCAUGGUUGUCGUCAGCUCGUGUCGUGAGAUGUUGGGUUAAGUCCCGCAACGAGCGCAACCCCUACGUUUAGUUGCUAACGCGUGAAGGCGAGCACUCUAGACGAACUGCCGUUGACAAAACGGAGGAAGGUGGGGAUGACGUCAAAUCAUCAUGCCCCUUAUGUUCUGGGCUACACACGUGCUACAAUGGCCGGUACAGACGGACGCAAAGCCGCGAGGUGGAGCAAAUCCUAAAAAGCCGGUCUCAGUUCGGAUUGCAGGCUGCAAUUCGCCUGCAUGAAGUCGGAAUCGCUAGUAAUCGCAGGUCAGCAUACUGCGGUGAAUACGUUCCCGGGCCUU